Molecule: ribosomal RNA, 254 nt
Filed under: uncultured prokaryote
Description: partial 16S ribosomal RNA
Rfam family: Bacterial small subunit ribosomal RNA
Source: RNAcentral
UACGGAGGAUGCAAGCGUUAUCCGGAUUUAUUGGGUUUAAAGGGUGCGCAGGUUGUUUGAUAAGUCAGUGGUGAAAGUCUGUCGCUUAACGGUAGGAUUGCCAUUGAUACUGUUGGACUUGAAUAUGGAUGAGGUAGGCGGAAUGUGUAGUGUAGCGGUGAAAUGCAUAGAUAUUACACAGAACACCGAUUGCGAAGGCAGCUUACUAACCCAUCAUUGACGCUGAGGCACGAAAGCGUGGGGAUCAAACAGGA